AUUGAACGCUGGCGGAAUGCUUUACACAUGCAAGUCGAACGGCAGCACGGACUUCGGUCCGGUGGCGAGUGGCGAACGGGUGAGUAAUGUAUCGGAACGUGCCCAGUCGUGGGGGAUAACGUAGUGAAAAUUACGCUAAUACCGCAUACGAUCUAUGGAUGAAAGCGGGGGAUCGCAAGACCUCGCGGCAUUAGAGCGGCCGAUAUCAGAUUAGGUAGUUGGUGGGGUAAAGGCCCACCAAGCCAACGAUCUGUAGCUGGUCUGAGAGGACGACCAGCCACACUGGAACUGAGACACGGUCCAGACUCCUACGGGAGGCAGCAGUGGGAAUUUUGGACAAUGGGCGAAAGCCUGAUCCAGCCAUUCCGCGUGCAGGAUGAAGGCCCUCGGGUUGUAAACUGCUUUUGUACAGAACGAAAAGGUUUCUACUAAUACUAGGAGCUCAUGACGGUACUGUAAGAAUAAGCACCGGCUAACUACGUGCCAGCAGCCGCAGUAA
RNAcentral lists this ribosomal RNA (499 nucleotides) under uncultured bacterium. Its description in RNAcentral is "partial 16S ribosomal RNA". It matches the Rfam family "Bacterial small subunit ribosomal RNA", at positions 30 to 523 of the family's 1533-position model. The record is from RNAcentral.